CAAAGGCAUGUCCAGCCUUUUACAUCUGUAGUCACUGCUAAACUGAAGCAAAGUAUAAAGUAAUUAAAAUUUCUACAAAUUAAAGCAAUUGUCUUGCGAUCUAACGUGGAAGUAUUAUUAUAAAUUACUGUUUGACUUUUAGCAAACUUAGCGUGGUUGAAAAACGCAGGUAACGCAGCUGGAUAGAAAGAAACAAAAGCGGGCAAGAUGGGAGAAGAGAAGAGAAGAGUAGAGAGUGAAAGAGGAGAAGACUAUAGGAUAGGUGGAAGUUCGAUUCAGGGCGAAAGGGAAGGAUUAAUGGCGCAAGCGGGACACACCGCGGCCAUAAAUCGCCGCACGGCCAGGAAUUACCGGCUCGCAACUUGCGAAAUAUGACGGUCUCAUAAAUCCGAGUCCACUAGCCCGCGCGCCUCCAUCGACUAUGUCAACUAGCCCCGCUUCCAAUUCUCGCUGCUAUGUCGCGAUCUCGCUUCCGCCUCUAACUCUCUGCCUAACCUCAUCUCCCUUUCCUUCUCUCCUUCACCCACCAUCUCUCUUUCGUGUGCGGGAGAAUCCACCGUGCACUAUGUGUAUACGUUUCAGCUUGGCGUGCAACGGCCAUUUAUAACUUGCGCGCCUGGAAAAGCGAGGUCCAUAACCUAAUACGUUCGUUCCGCUCGCCGACGAGAGGCGAGAAAGGAGUUAAACAAAGAACGGGACACGACGAUUUAGAGGACGGGGAUAGAUGUAUGGAGACACCGGUGUGUCGUAAUGACGCGCCACCUCGAGCAAUCAGUUCACUUACCCGCUUUGCCGUGCUUAGAGAUUUAUGUCUCUUGCCGCGAUUUUCGUUUCGCGCCUCGCUAUUUCAUUCCUCUUGCGCUUCCUCGGAACGUUUAAUCCCCUUUCAACUGUGUAUACGACGUCGAAGAUUGUUUAUUGCAACAGGCGCGGGACACCAUACGAACCCCCCACCAGCUGAUGCCUUAGGACAGGGCUGAUGAACUUCUCUGCCAGGAGCUACAUGAGGCGCACGGACCCCUCUCUCUCUCAGUCGAUUACCCCAUCAUCAGCAGGCUAGCCACGCCUUUUUCCAAGUCUCCAGAGGAGCCUCAAGGGCCAACAGGAGUAACGGCCCAAAUUGGAAUUGAUCUUGGGGGACUCACGCGACGAAACAGAGAAACUCGGACAAUCCUUGUCUCUUCUGCAUCGAAAGACAAGAAUAGCGCGAUAGUAAGACAUGUUGAUAUAAAAAGAGAAAUAAUGAGAUAAUAGUUACAUCAAUUUUCGAGGAACCUUUCGCCUUAUCCUCGUAUACAUUUCUAGUUAGUAUCGAGCUGACAAUACGAUUAGAAAGUAAAAUAUUUCGUGUUACGUAAGACAGAGAUAAAAGGUAAUGCCACUCAGGGAACGUAAUAACUGUUGCGAUUAGUACAUUGGAAGCAUUACGUAAAUGCGAAAGUGCCAAUAAUAUGCUACAAUUUAUUACAGGCUAAACGAAAUAAUAAUGUGCACGUGCUUCUUCUGAAAAAAGUUGUUUUCCAUUUCGUAAUGCUCGCAUUAACACCGGUGUAAUUAUACCUACUAAUUAGCAGGAGAUUUAUCUGAAAUUUUUUAAGUAAAAUGUUUAACUAGCUAAUGUAAACUGGAAAUAAAACCUUUCGUUUUUAAGUCAGAAAGUUAACUCAAACUGUGUAUAACUUAAAUUAUGUAUGUAUAAUUCAAUCUCAAACGCAUGAAUAACUUUUUUGGAUGAAAAGGUCAAAGAAAUAAAAUAUGUGUUUAAAGAAACAUUCUGUAAGAUUGAAGAUCAUUCUGCAGAACGAAGAGCUCGAGCAUAAAUUAAUUAGAAGAAUUUUAAUUCCACCAUUAAGCAUAAAUUUUCAUUAUCACUUUGUUGGCUAAUAUCACAUAUCUCUGAAUUCUACAUUCCAGUAUUCAAAUGUAGUGAUGUAUGCAUUAGUUAUAAUUAAAAACUGUUCACUUUAUAGCCGAUAUUACCGAGUAUGGGGGAUACAGGUUGUUCAUCGCCCAAGAGAGGCUAAUUAAAGAAGCGGCGUUUCAAUUGGUUAUAUCUGUGCACGGAUAAUAAAAUUUAAUUUUAUGGCAUCAUUUAAGAAAUCCUCGAAUUAU
Osmia lignaria (orchard mason bee) is the source of this 2112-nucleotide long non-coding RNA. RefSeq lists it as uncharacterized. The record is from RefSeq and is a predicted model, not a curated record. Lineage: Eukaryota; Metazoa; Arthropoda; Insecta; Hymenoptera; Megachilidae.